AAUCACGCGUAGAGUAUAAAGGCAAAAGCGCGCUUAACUGCGAGACCCACAAGUCGAGCAGGUACGAAAGUAGGUCUUAGUGAUCCGGUGGUUCUGUAUGGAAGGGCCAUCGCUCAACGGAUAAAAGGUACUCUGGGGAUAACAGGCUGAUACCGCCCAAGAGUUCAUAUCGACGGCGGUGUUUGGCACCUCGAUGUCGGCUCAUCUCAUCCUGGGGCUGAAGCAGGUCCCAAGGGUAUGGCUGUUCGCCAUUUAAAGAGGUACGCGAGCUGGGUUUAGAACGUCGUGAGACAGUUCGGUCCCUAUCUACCGUGGGCGUUGGAAAUUUGAGAGGAUCUGCUCCUAGUACGAGAGGACCAGAGUGGACGAACCUCUGGUGUACCGGUUGUCACGCCAGUGGCAUCGCCGGGUAGCUAUGUUCGGAAGGGAUAACCGCUGAAAGCAUCUAAGCGGGAAGCCUACCUCAAGAUAAGAUUUCCC
Molecule: ribosomal RNA, 480 nt
Filed under: Ancylomarina sp. 16SWW S1-10-2
Lineage: Bacteria; Pseudomonadati; Bacteroidota; Bacteroidia; Marinilabiliales; Marinifilaceae
Description: partial 23S ribosomal RNA
Rfam family: Bacterial large subunit ribosomal RNA
Source: RNAcentral